This 21-nucleotide microRNA is filed under the name Citrus sinensis (sweet orange). RNAcentral's name for it is "csi-miR3952-5p". Lineage: Eukaryota; Viridiplantae; Streptophyta; Magnoliopsida; Sapindales; Rutaceae. The record is from miRBase by way of RNAcentral.
GCUGUAGAUAGGCCCUUCAAC